CUUGUGAGAAGGCAUGGGGAAAGACAGGGCAGUGAGUCUUGCCACUGGGUAAGCGGUCCUGGGACGCUGGUUUUGCCCCAGAAAUAGGGAAGUGGCCAAACCACUUUCGUUUUUGUUUUGUUUUGUUUUGUUUUGUUUUUUGUUAUUCCCUUCUCUAAUGAACAAUCUCUAGGCUUCUGUGUGCAGGAAAAAAAGGUGGGGGGUGGGGAGCAGAGAGGGCAAGAGGAGCCUUUCAAACACGGGCCCACCAGACAGAGAGUACUGCUAAAUUCUAGACCAGGGGUGAUGCCCUUCCCACCCUUUGUGCCAGGAGCGCCCCCUUCCUGAAGACCACCCCCAGGGCCCGGCUCUGCCGGCAGCCAAUGGGAGGCUAGGGCCCACCUAAGCGGCCUCGCCGGCCAAUCGCAGGCGAGCCGGCGGGGGCGCUGCCCGCGGAGGGGAGGGGUUUGGUCUCCGUCAGGUGCGCGGAGAUGGCCCCGGGGGUUGGCCUGGCUGGGGGCGCGUCUGUACCUUGUCUUUGGGGUUCCUCCUUGUGGGACCGGUUCUUGCCGAGCUUCAUGGCGGAGAACACACUUCUCCCAGCUCUGUGAGGCGAGCCGCCAGAAUGAGAUGGAGGGAGAUGGACGCCGGGAGGAAGACACACAAACACAGGAGAGCAAAACCCGAGACAACACCGAUCCUGGGAGGUACAUAUGCUUCUCUUCAUUCAACCCAAGAAGAGACUGAGGCUCAGAGCUAGAGUUGAAGCACACUGCUCCUGCCCCCUCUGCCAGAACUGCUACGUCCUGAGUCCCGUGGGAUUGCACUUCUCUGUCAGUGGCGAUCCCAUCCUGACCGUUCGGAACUUCAGUGAAAAGUUCCCAGGGCCUGCACUUGUAGGUGUACGUAUGGGCCGUGUGCCAACGCAGUGUGCAGAUGGGGGUGCCAUCUGUGAAGAGCCCCACAGACGGUGCCCAGGCUUACAGAGGAGACGCUCACUCACAAAUGGUCUUAGCAUCAACGCAUUUUGGAAGAGGCUGCUGUGAAAGUUAAUGACUGGUAAUGAAACGUCACACAGGUCAAUGACUUGUGGCUUUCUGACACUGGUCCCGAGGACCCACCCAAGUGGAAAAGGGCCUGGGGCUUCCCCUGGGCAGUUAUGGCCCUUGAUUUUGAAAGUCACUUUAUUUCUUAAAACAAACGUAUUUGGAAGCAGAGAUUGAGACUUAAAAAAAAAAACAAAAAACAAAAACUAUACUAUCCUACAAUUCUCUCCCUGAAGUCAAUCAAAGGAGAAGCCCCUCUUCUCAGACCCUGCCUCACUAACCAUCUCCGGUGGACAGGUAUACAGGCGGUACUCCUGUGUGCCUGGGGGUAUCUCAAAAUGAAGAUUUAUCCCUUAAUGAAAAAUGUGGAACGUGUCGGGUGAAUGUAAUGUCCAGAAUUCGUACGAAUUUUGUUCUUCAGUUCAUCUGGACAGCGUGCACUAGAGCGUGAUGGCCUCAGCUCUCCCUGCCCUUUGGAAUUUUCUGGUCGAUGACACAUCAGAAGUUGACCAUAGAAACAGUCUCUUCUGCCUAGUGCUGCACCGCUUCCCAGAAACGGCGUGCCUGCUUCUCCCGGCCAAGGGUAAAGGUUAGUUUUGAAAUAAAUGUUAAUUUAGUCAGGGAUGUUCGAAGAUUAUCGGCUUGUAUCAAAGACUUAGAUUUCCAAACUGUGUAAUUCUUUGAUGAGGUUGCUGGUACGCUGGGGUCCUGAGUGUUUGUUCUUGUUUUUAAAUAAAAUGCGGCAGCUGG
Felis catus (domestic cat) is the source of this 1775-nucleotide long non-coding RNA. RefSeq lists it as uncharacterized. NCBI's taxonomy places the organism in Eukaryota, Metazoa, Chordata, Mammalia, Carnivora, Felidae. The record is from RefSeq and is a predicted model, not a curated record. The transcript is spliced from 2 exons.